This 157-nucleotide small RNA is filed under the name Mytilus galloprovincialis (Mediterranean mussel). The record is from RNAcentral. Lineage: Eukaryota; Metazoa; Mollusca; Bivalvia; Mytilida; Mytilidae.
GCUCUGUGGUCUGGUUGUUGUCUCUUUGGCACAUUCCCCAUUUCCAUUCUCAAUUUUAUGCUUUUAUCUGGUUUACUUUUAUAAAUUGUGACUUUGAUGGAGAGUUUAAGAAAGGAAAUGGAGAAUGUGUCAAAGCGACAACAACCCCACCGUAGAG